RNAcentral lists this transfer RNA (69 nucleotides) under Ichthyborus sp. NM-2010. Its description in RNAcentral is "tRNA-Glu". It matches the Rfam family "tRNA". Rfam says of the family: Transfer RNA (tRNA) molecules are approximately 80 nucleotides in length. The record is from RNAcentral. Lineage: Eukaryota; Metazoa; Chordata; Actinopteri; Characiformes; Citharinidae.
GUUCCUGUAGUUGAGUGACAACAGUGGUUUUUCAAGUCACAAGUCUUGGUUAAAGUCCGGGCGGGAAUU